CAAAAUCAACGCUAGGGUCACCGCCCUCAAUCGCGUUCCACUGCAUUCUCAUUACCUGAAAUGUUACGUAUAACUACGUUUUAAGCACUAGACUGGUGUAAGUCAAGUUAUUAUUAAUAUAAUAAGUGCCCAUAAAAUUAUUAAAAUAUCAAUUAAUUUUAAACAUGAAAUCAAUUUUCAAACCUCAGGCUCAUAUAGGUCGAUCCUUUAAUUUCAAAAUCUUGGUCAUCGUGUCAAGCACCCUUGACAGAUAACUUACUUUUGUCAAUUAUUUUUUCCUAUCAAUCUUGACUCAUUAGGCCCAUUUUCAUUACCUGAUUUCAUAUCAAGAAUUCAAAAUUGUAUUAGAUGACCCUUGCGCCACAUGCACUUGUUCAGCAAUAUCACCCGAAUCGAGAGAGACCCCAAAUAUAAUAUGCGGCAUGAUAUCACCCGAGAUUAUUGGCCAUGAUCCUCUUUAUUAUAUCACUCUCGCUAUAUUCUUUUUCCCUAGCGAACGGGGCAUGUUUCGAACCAUAUGUCGUUUAAAAUAUACUUUUCUAAAAUAAUCAUUUUUCAUAUUCCAUGCCAUAUUUAAAACAUAGCAUGCAUUUAAUUAUAAAAUGUCAUCAUGUUUAAUCAAUAAAAACAUACAUGCUUUCACCACAAAACUUGUACUUUUAAGUAAGUAAAAUAUAACAAGACUCACUUUAUACUUAUUUCACGUUCUUCCUUUCUAUGCUCACUAGUGAACUAAAGUAACGGUUUUCGAGUUCCGGUCCUAUAAUUAGAGAUUCCGAAUUUAAUAUCUCGCAUUCAAUACACACUCUAUUUGCCUAAAUAUAUCAUCAUUUAGUACGCCGAGCCUAAGGGUAUAAGAAUUGUAUAGGAUAGUCGAAUAGAUAAGUUUUUCUGAAAAAUUAUUUUUUGUCAAAAAAUUGGGUAAGUAUAGAAAAGUGAAUUAUUAAAAUAUUAUUUUCUUCAAAUCAUUUUUUCAGUAAUUGUUUCAUGUACAUUGAAUAGUCAAAACUGAUUUUAUGAGAUUUUUAUACCAAGGUAUACCCUCCAUAAUAAGAAAAAUCAUUUUUAAAAAAUUAUCGAAAACUAUUUUUGUACUAAAACUGAAAAUUUAUUUUUUUAUUUAAUGAGAUUUAUAUUUUUUAGUAUUUUUUUAUUGAAUCCAAAUGGAGGGUAGUUUUUUAUUUAUAUUGUAAAUUUAAAGUAAAAGAAAAUGUAAGAGUUUAUGACUUUUAUUUAAAUGUUUUCAAUGAAAAUAAGUAUUCUGGUAAAGUACUGUGCCAACAGUAAAGGUUCAGUUGGUCAAAAGCUGUGUUCUGUCAAGUUCAACUAGUUGAGAUAAAAAAAUUCAACCGGUUGGACAAGAAUAGAGACUUAAGACUUAAUGUUCAACUGGUUGGGAGAAAAUUGUUCAACCGAUUGGGCAAGAACAAAGACUUAAGAUUUAAUAUUCAACUGUUUGAGAGAAAAAUGUUCAACCGGUUGGGCAAGAAUAGAGACUUAAAAUUUAAUAUUCAACUGGUUCAACUGAAAAACAGCGAGUUGGUUCUUUUAUUUUUCUGGAUUAAAUUCCAAGACUGUUUUGGGCCAAUAAACAUUUAAAUUAGAAAAAAACACGUAAAAUAAAAGUUGUAAGUAUUUGAAAUAUCUUUCAUACGUAAUUUGAAUUAAGUCAAAAUGUUAUUGUAUGAGGGAGUUAAGCUUAAAAUACUAACUAUUUUGAUAAAAAAUGUGACUUAACUUUUAUUGGAUUUUAAUCCUACCACAUCGUAUACGUGUCAUAUUCUCGACGUAUUAUCGAACUUUAAUCAUGAUAGGUUUUUAUCCCAAAUUCUUCAUCACCGUAUUUAGUGAAAGAAACUUACAAAACGAUAGGAAAAAGACGAGAUUUUACCUGAGUUCGGAGAAAAUCAAGAAAUCUUUUUCACCUCUCUUUUUCUCCUCUCUUCCUUCCUUCCUCUUCCUCUAUCAAUCUUUCUCUCAGCUCUCUCUUUUUCUCUCUUUCUUUCUCUUUCUCUUCCUUUCUUUCUCUCCUCUCUCAUG
This 2040-nucleotide long non-coding RNA is filed under the name Actinidia chinensis (golden kiwifruit). RNAcentral describes it as "long non-coding RNA (ACHI_LNC000996)". The record is from RNAcentral. Lineage: Eukaryota; Viridiplantae; Streptophyta; Magnoliopsida; Ericales; Actinidiaceae.